Molecule: unclassified non-coding RNA, 255 nt
Filed under: plant metagenome
Description: partial contains small subunit ribosomal RNA, internal transcribed spacer 1, and 5.8S ribosomal RNA
Rfam family: Eukaryotic small subunit ribosomal RNA (bases 1-54)
Source: RNAcentral
GGAAGUAAAAGCCGUAACAAGGUUUCCGUAGGUGAACCUGCGGAAGGAUCAUUACUGAGUGAGGGCCCUCUGGGUCCAACCUCCCACCCGUGUUUAUUAUACCUUGUUGCUUCGGUGAGCCCGCCUCACGGCCGCCGGGGGGCAUCUGCCCCCGGGCCCGCGCCCACCGAAGACACCUAGAACUCUGUAUGAAGAUUGCAGUCUGAGCAAAAACUAAAUAAGUUAAAACUUUCAACAACGGAUCUCUUGGUUCCG